This 46-nucleotide non-coding RNA is filed under the name Trypanosoma brucei brucei. The record is from RNAcentral. Lineage: Eukaryota; Euglenozoa; Kinetoplastea; Trypanosomatida; Trypanosomatidae.
AUAUAAACAAUGAAUUCACUGUGAAGAUACGAUAGAUGAUAUAUAU